AGACAAGAAGACAGUGAUUCUGAUUCUGAUGACGAUAGCGAAGAUGAAAAUUUAUCGUCUCAAGGUUCAACUACAUUUCAUACGAAGCCUCUGUUUAAAAACGAUCAUAUUGGACCUUGGCUGAAAGCAUCAAAGGGAAAGAAAAAUGGGCGCAUUCUGGGAUUUAGAGUUGGUGAUGACUCUAUGUUAGCAAAUAAGAGGAGAAAGAAAAUGAGCAAUGAGGAAACUGAGAUGCAGAACACUGAAAAAUUUGAAUUGGCAGUUUCCAAAGCCGUUGAAAAACGAAUGGAAGCGUUAGAAAUAGAAAACGAAAAACGAUUUAAAAUGCUGGAACAACGGUUAAUUGACAAUAUAAAUGUGAGUUUAAUAAAUGUUUUUAAAUUAGUUUUUAAAUUUAUUAAUUUUUUGAAUAUCUUCAUUUAUUUUCAGGCUAAUGUUACAAGCAACGACCCGAAUCGUCCAUCAUCGAGUAAUGUUCCUGUUUCUUCUCAGUUGAACCAAAUUCUUCCAUUAUCGAGAAAUUAUUGGGAAGAAGAUACUAAUUUGAAUUCGACACCUCGACCAAAAGGUAAGACUUUAGAUAUUUCCAAUAUUGUUCAACAAAAAAAAUUGUAAAACACUUACCUCUAUUGUAAUUGAAACACUUAACAUGUAUCUACAUUUGUUGUAAUGUGACGAUUCAGCGACAUGUAUUCACUUUUUCUAGUUGUAAUGUGUAUACAUUUGUUGUAAUUG
This 735-nucleotide long non-coding RNA is filed under the name Zostera marina. RNAcentral's name for it is "long non-coding RNA (ZMAR_LNC000427)". Lineage: Eukaryota; Viridiplantae; Streptophyta; Magnoliopsida; Alismatales; Zosteraceae. The record is from RNAcentral.